Molecule: ribosomal RNA, 650 nt
Filed under: Cellulophaga sp.
Lineage: Bacteria; Pseudomonadati; Bacteroidota; Flavobacteriia; Flavobacteriales; Flavobacteriaceae
Description: bacterial SSU rRNA
Rfam family: Bacterial small subunit ribosomal RNA
Source: RNAcentral
UUAGAUACCCUGGUAGUACACGCCGUAAACGAUGGAUACUAGCUGUGUGGUUGUCGGACUGCGCGGCCAAGCGAAAGUGAUAAGUAUCCCACCUGGGGAGUACGUUAGCAAGAAUAAAACUCAAAGGAAUUCACGGGCGCCCGCGCAAGCGGUGGAGCAUGUGGUUUAAUUAGGUGCUACGCGAGGAACCUUCACCCGGAUGAAAUUUAGAUUGACAGGUGGUGCGAUAGACUUUUCUUAGACCAAUUUACAAGGUGUGUCAUGGUUGUCGUCAGCUCGUGCCGGGAGUAGUCAGGUUAAGUCGUGCAACGAGCGCAACCCUUGUUGUUAGAGUAAUGUACAUAAUUGUGGGGACUCUAGCAAGACCAACGGUGCAAAAGGUGGGGAAGGUGGGGAUGACGUCAAAUCAUCACGGCCCUUACGUCAUGGGCCACACACGUGCAACAACAGUAGGUUGCAAUAGCAGGAAGUGGAGGAUAUGGAGUGAAUCUUUCAAACGUAUCACAGGGAGUAUCGAAGUCUGCAACAUGAAGUCGGAAAGCUGGAAAAUCUAGUAUCAGAAUAUCAGCCAUGAUCCGUUGAAUACGUUUCCGGACCUCGUACACUCACACCGUCGGACCGUGGAAGCCGGGAAGACGUGAGCGUUAACC